GGUACCCAGUUCGGAUUGUAGGCUGCAACUCGCCUACAUGAAGUCGGAGUUGCUAGUAAUCGCGGAUCAGAAUGCCGCGGUGAAUGCGUUCCCGGGUCUUGUACACACCGCCCGUCACACCAUGGAAGUUGGGGGCGCCCGAAGUUGCCUAAGAAAUAAGGUACCUAAGGCGAAACCAAUGACUGGGGUGAAGUCGUAACAAGGUACC
Molecule: ribosomal RNA, 208 nt
Filed under: uncultured bacterium
Lineage: Bacteria
Description: partial 16S ribosomal RNA
Rfam family: Bacterial small subunit ribosomal RNA
Source: RNAcentral